Long non-coding RNA from Oxyura jamaicensis (ruddy duck), 4238 nucleotides. RefSeq lists it as uncharacterized. The transcript has 3 exons. Lineage: Eukaryota; Metazoa; Chordata; Aves; Anseriformes; Anatidae. The record is from RefSeq and is a predicted model, not a curated record.
CGGAAGUCGCCCCCGGAGGCAGCGCCAUGCCGCGCCGCGCCGUGAGGCAGCGGGAGGAUAUAGGGCGGCGCGGGCGCCAUCUUAACUGCGGCCUGAGCGCUGCAGGUCGAGGCAGAUAGCGCGGGUCCCGCAGCACUGUGCUCCUCGGAGACUUCAGCUGCAAACGUUUUCUGGUCCUGUAAACCUUUUCUGGUCACAGAUGAGAGGGACAAAAGUCUCCAUUAAAAAUAUAGAGCAUCAGAAGUCACCAAAGACAGUAAUGGCCUAUAAAACGCAUGCGAUCUUCCAGUCAACACAUCAAGAGUAUCCUUCAUUGCUUGGAAGCAGAGGAUUUUAGUUCUUCAAAGAUCCAUAAAUAGAGGAAAACAAACUUAAGCAUUCUUUACAGAAACAGUGAAAACCAAUUAACAUUUAAUUACAAUGAAGAAACGAGAACAAACAGAAAUGAGUUAACCCUGGGCCUCAGAAGAAAUCAUUGGACAAUGUUUCGGCCAUGAGACUGACCUCAGCGUUCCAGCUCCCAGCAGAGACCUGCAGCACCUUCUUAUGCCAGAAGAAGCCAUGGCUGGAGCCACAGCCAACAGCAUCUCAUGGGUCUUGGGUGGACAAGACCAAGGCUGAAGCUUUCUUAGCAGCCUAUUGUAUAUGCUUUUUCUAGAAGUGCUCACAGGAUGAUGAGGAAAAUAGCUGUCAGGAAUUCAGAGAAAAUUCUCAUUAACUUGUCCCAGUACACAUUUAUCACCAAAGAUAAAAAAAAGAAAAAAAAGAAAAAAUGAAGAGGCAAUAUAUUGGAAAUAUAUUGGACAUCUGCUCUGAAAAAUGACAAUGAGAUGGUACACCUGUGUACUUGGGCUACACUGAAGUAAGCUAUACCCGUUGAGCAUUAUUGAUAUAACAACUGAGUAAACUGCAGAAGUUCCCCAUUUAUCAUCCUAAUGUGAGCUAUAAAUGAACAAAAACCAGUUUAUUUUUACGAUCCAGGGGUGAGUUUCUAGAGAGGCAGAUACGUUUUUGAUGAGUAGCACAGAACAACAAAUAGUAAAAAAAACAUGAAAAUAUCAUUGUGAAACUACUCCCCAAAGGAAAAGACUGUUCCGCAGUCCCAGUCUGCAUCUGUAGCUGUCUUAUAAUUUACAUGGCUUAACUAGAAUUCCUCCAGGAAAUACCAUUUGUUCCAAAUUAACAGUCUGAAUGCUAAGAGGCACUGAAGGUAGUGAAGCUAAGGAAGCAGAAAUGAAGGACCACUUGUAUGUCUCUUCCCUGUCUAGAUUACCUUGCAGUUUUGGAUGCAAAGGUUGUGAUAUAAAUUAUGCUUUUCUUGCCUAACCCUGUCUCAUGAGAUACAUGCAUUAUUCUAUUUAACGCCAUGCAAAUCCUGUUUUCAGACCUCCAGGUCCAUGAAGGAAAGGUUAGCAGCUAAAGAGAUCUUUCAACUCCAAUAUACAGAUUUUAGUGUAAGCUGAAAACAAAAACGCAGCCAGCAAGAGGCAGAAGAGGUUCCCCGAAAAGGCACUGAGGACAGCAUGGGAACAACAAAAAAUGCCAAUGGAAAUGCUUUAGCCAGAGAACAAUGAGACUAGCAAGUACCAGUGUGCAGGUGGGGCACAAUAAAACCCGUCUGCAAGCUGAGCCAAGAAUAAUCUACUUUAAAAGUGCUAUGCUUUGCUACUUAGAAAUGUUGCUCUUGUCCAAGUGUUUUGUAUUUGCCUCAGUGCAGUUCCAUUUUUAUUUUUUUUUUCCCUUUCUUUUAACUAAUUAGAGGCUUAUGUAAACCAGAGGGGAUUUCUGGGAGCCCUUUGGGUUUGUAAAUUAUGCAAAUGACAGCACUAUGAUGUUGGAUCAUAUUAUUAAUUGUAUAUUUUGUGGUUCAUGUAUUCCAAAGAGUAUGUGAAACAAGUUUUUUUUUUUCUUUCUUUUUUUUUUCUUCCCAGUCCUCGAACACAGUAAGUCUUCGAGCAGAUUGCAAAAUGACUUUUCUACUAUUAUUUUUUUAAUCUUUAAGAAGAGUAUAUUGUUAACGCUACAGACUAUUCUGUGAGGAUAGCUUUACAACAUUGUGUAUGCACUAUGAAUAGAACAAACUUCCCAGAUGAUUAUACUUUAAAGCUGGAGGUCUUUCUGUAAAUUUUAAACAGUGUUCUAUUAAGUGCCAUCUAUAAAAUGCUUGAUGUCUUACCUCUUGGGAUGAUUUGUGAUUUUGACAGAGCUUUUGAAAUCCCGAAUGAAAAACUCUUUUGCUAUAGGAAGCUGAUUGGUAACUGGAUAAAUUGCUCUAUAAUCUGAGCAUUGAACACUUAUACGUAGCAAGCUUUAUUUUGCAAUGCAUUCUGCCUGCAGCAUAAAAUAGAAGCCCUCUCUUUAUAUAAUGCUAAACAGUCGUCAGGAAUGCAUAUAAAGUUUUCAGAUGUUGAGUAAAACCCUGGUGAUUACCCUGAAAUUGCCUGUGGUUGAAGAGCACAGCACAGAUAUCUUUCCGUCCUGAUUUGAAGUUUAAUAAAGUAAUCACAUUGAAUAAGUUUUCUGUUCCAGAAGCAGUGUUUUUGCACAUGAAAUGAUUCCUGUCUAUCAAUUAACAAGAUCAUCCCAAGUAAAAGGCUUUUAUAUAGAUAAGCUGCAUUUACAAGCAUCAUAAUCAAUUUAUGUUCCAACUGCCAAUUUCUGCAGCUAAUUCUGCCAAUUUUCACACUUUGUCAAUUAUAAGUGGAAUUUCCUUUGCAUUAGGAGACAUAUCUUUCAUUGACAGAAAAAUAUCUUUGUUUUUUAUGAUAUGCUUGCAGGGUAAGAAUACAGCUUCCAUAGAACAUUCGACUCAAUAAAUUAAAAAUGAAAAAUUGAAAGAUAUCGUACAUGUUUUGUGGAUUGGACAUUUGGAGCACGCAAACAUCUGCAUAUUUAUGUUCAAAGUCUCACAGGUACAGCUCAUGCAAUCCAUACCAUUGUAAAUCCAGCUCAGAUGCAGGUAGUAUAACAGGUAUGCCUGACUAGGAUGUCUGUGUAAUGUUUCUGUCCCUGGAAAAGUACAGGAGACUUGUUUGCUUUUUUUUUGCUGGGGAAUCUGUAAUAUGAACCCUUGAUAAUUUUCCUGCUUUCAUGAAACUUUUUCAUAAAAGUCUUUCUCCAUAUACCUUUUUCAGAAAUAACCUUCCAGAGAGACAGCAAUGACAGAUUUACACAUUUUUAACACAGGGUCAUCUGUUUAUGCACAGUAUGAAUGCCAAAUUUAGCUGGUCUUUAAAGGGGAAAGAGCCAGCAGAAUCACUCAACUUGCAUGUGUAGGCUUCAGAUUUAGGAUGCAAAUAUCUUGGAGCGGGUCGGCCUUUUAUUUUGUUCUGCAUGUGGCAGGCAGUUACAGAGACCUGCUGUUGUGCUGAAUCACUCACAGUUGAUGUGACAGUGAGAAUCUAGUGGGAUGCUGUCUGCUGAUUUUAUUUUUGAGUGGUAGGUACUGCCCAUACAAACAACUGCACCCUUAAUGACUGUAGUAACCUGCUGGAUAAUUUAAAUAUAUAUUUUUUUGCACUGUUGCAGUGUUAUGAUCCAUUGCAAUCCAAGACUGGUGAGAUCUGAAACCCCAGGUUUCCCAACUUUCAUUAUAAUAUUUUCUCUAACAUUGUUUAGGUUGGUGCAAAUAUAAUAAGCUCUGAAUUCACUCAUCCUGUACAUAUAUGCCAAGUUAUUUAAGAAAUUGAUGUGACUGCUUUCAGCCUUAUGGUGCCUGCGUUGCCUGCAUGGUGCUCUGCUCCUUUCUUGAUUCUGAACCCCUGGCCUGAAGGUUGCUCUGAAGGUUGCAUGCUCCUCUACCAAAAAUGUCUGUCCGUAAUGUGAGCUUACUGGUGCUGUCAUUCUGUUUUGCCUCUUUAUUUUCUUACUUCUGUAUGAGCACUCUGGAUGAGCACUGGUCAGUUAAUUUCUUAUGAUGCUUCAAGGUUGAGCAUCUGGGGAAAAAAAGGAAGUCGAUCCAUGUGUGUGUUUUGUAUUCCAGAAUUUCAGUUUUAGACGCCGAAAUCUCUGGGGAAUUUUAUUCAAAUCCCUGGGCUUGAUUCUGGGUCAAUACUUUAUACUGACCUCAACUAUUAUUUAGAUUUGAAUGCAUCUGAAAAUGGCAUGAACAUGGUAUUUUUUAAAGUUCUAGUAUUAUGCAAACAACUUGGAAUAAUUUUUUGUUGUAAAACUUGAAACCUGGAUCUAAGGUGACUUUGAAACUGAACCCCAACCUAAACUGAAUCCAGAUAUCUGUG